This 25-nucleotide microRNA is filed under the name Canis lupus familiaris (dog). RNAcentral's name for it is "cfa-let-7d". Its record names the gene cfa-let-7d. The record is from miRBase by way of RNAcentral. Lineage: Eukaryota; Metazoa; Chordata; Mammalia; Carnivora; Canidae.
CUAUACGACCUGCUGCCUUUCUUAG